AAACAAUGAAGGUUUAAAUAUCGUAAACCUAGUUUCUUGUUUGAUCGAUAACCACGAUAAUUCUCAUCGGGGUUAUAUAAGAAAUUCGUCAUGCAUUUUAUAGCCAAGCGUUUUCACAAUGCCAAACGACUUAAUAUAUCAUUCAGUGUUAUUUCGAGAGCCAAGAUGGUGAAGUGUUUAAUAUUAUGUGCGAUUACUCUCCUGUUGGGUUUUAUUGGCGUUUGUUCUUCCCUUCUUUACAAACGAUGUGGAGCUGGAGUUUGCGUUCCAUCGGACACUGAGUGUAUGUCUCCUAGAUCAUCAGUGUUCUGUGGGAAACUACAAAAAUGUUGCGUAACAACAAAUAGGUCUGGAAGGAAGGGAAAACGCUGAACCACUUGCAUUUUUUUGUUAACUACUGUAAGUUUCAGCUAAGCGUUCCCCAACUGAAACGAAGCAAUUUCUAAUGGCGUAAUUUAAAUAAACAAACUUUAACAACGCCUUAAAA
This is a non-coding RNA of Drosophila takahashii, 487 nucleotides long. The record is from RefSeq and is a predicted model, not a curated record. NCBI's taxonomy places the organism in Eukaryota, Metazoa, Arthropoda, Insecta, Diptera, Drosophilidae.